This 87-nucleotide transfer RNA is filed under the name Bacilli bacterium. Its description in RNAcentral is "tRNA-Leu". It matches the Rfam family "tRNA". From Rfam's summary of the family: Transfer RNA (tRNA) molecules are approximately 80 nucleotides in length. Their secondary structure includes four short double-helical elements and three loops (D, anti-codon, and T loops). The record is from RNAcentral. Lineage: Bacteria; Bacillati; Bacillota; Bacilli.
GCCCGAGUGGUGAAAUUGGUAGACGCACUGGACUCAAAAUCCAGCAGUAGUGAUACUGUGCCGGUUCAACUCCGGCCUCGGGCACCA